AAAUUGAAGAGUUUGAUCAUGGCUCAGAUUGAACGCUGGCGGCAGGCCUAACACAUGCAAGUCGAGCGGUAGCACAGAGAGCUUGCUCUCGGGUGACGAGCGGCGGACGGGUGAGUAAUGUCUGGGAAACUGCCUGAUGGAGGGGGAUAACUACUGGAAACGGUAGCUAAUACCGCAUAACGUCGCAAGACCAAAGUGGGGGACCUUCGGGCCUCAUGCCAUCAGAUGUGCCCAGAUGGGAUUAGCUAGUAGGUGGGGUAACGGCUCACCUAGGCGACGAUCCCUAGCUGGUCUGAGAGGAUGACCAGCCACACUGGAACUGAGACACGGUCCAGACUCCUACGGGAGGCAGCAGUGGGGAAUAUUGCACAAUGGGCGCAAGCCUGAUGCAGCCAUGCCGCGUGUGUGAAGAAGGCCUUCGGGUUGUAAAGCACUUUCAGCGGGGAGGAAGGCGGUGAGGUUAAUAACCUCAUCGAUUGACGUUACCCGCAGAAGAAGCACCGGCUAACUCCGUGCCAGCAGCCGCGGUAAUACGGAGGGUGCAAGCGUUAAUCGGAAUUACUGGGCGUAAAGCGCACGCAGGCCGGUCUGUCAAGUCGGAUGUGAAAUCCCCGGGCUCAACCUGGGAACUGCAUUCGAAACUGGCAGGCUAGAGUCUUGUAGAGGGGGGUAGAAUUCCAGGUGUAGCGGUGAAAUGCGUAGAGAUCUGGAGGAAUACCGGUGGCGAAGGCGGCCCCCUGGACAAAGACUGACGCUCAGGUGCGAAAGCGUGGGGAGCAAACAGGAUUAGAUACCCUGGUAGUCCACGCCGUAAACGAUGUCGAUUUGGAGGUUGUGCCCUUGAGGCGUGGCUUCCGGAGCUAACGCGUUAAAUCGACCGCCUGGGGAGUACGGCCGCAAGGUUAAAACUCAAAUGAAUUGACGGGGGCCCGCACAAGCGGUGGAGCAUGUGGUUUAAUUCGAUGCAACGCGAAGAACCUUACCUGGUCUUGACAUCCACAGAACUUUCCAGAGAUGGAUUGGUGCCUUCGGGAACUGUGAGACAGGUGCUGCAUGGCUGUCGUCAGCUCGUGUUGUGAAAUGUUGGGUUAAGUCCCGCAACGAGCGCAACCCUUAUCCUUUGUUGCCAGCGGUCCGGCCGGGAACUCAAAGGAGACUGCCAGUGAUAAACUGGAGGAAGGUGGGGAUGACGUCAAGUCAUCAUGGCCCUUACGACCAGGGCUACACACGUGCUACAAUGGCAUAUACAAAGAGAAGCGACCUCGCGAGAGCAAGCGGACCUCAUAAAGUAUGUCGUAGUCCGGAUUGGAGUCUGCAACUCGACUCCAUGAAGUCGGAAUCGCUAGUAAUCGUAGAUCAGAAUGCUACGGUGAAUACGUUCCCGGGCCUUGUACACACCGCCCGUCACACCAUGGGAGUGGGUUGCAAAAGAAGUAGGUAGCUUAACCUUCGGGAGGGCGCUUACCACUUUGUGAUUCAUGACUGGGGUGAAGUCGUAACAAGGUAACCGUAGGGGAACCUGCGGUUGGAUCACCUCCUUACCUUAAAGAA
RNAcentral lists this ribosomal RNA (1551 nucleotides) under Klebsiella pneumoniae. Its description in RNAcentral is "bacterial SSU rRNA". It matches the Rfam family "Bacterial small subunit ribosomal RNA". Lineage: Bacteria; Pseudomonadati; Pseudomonadota; Gammaproteobacteria; Enterobacterales; Enterobacteriaceae. The record is from RNAcentral.